Molecule: ribosomal RNA, 1125 nt
Filed under: Bacillus licheniformis
Lineage: Bacteria; Bacillati; Bacillota; Bacilli; Caryophanales; Bacillaceae
Description: bacterial SSU rRNA
Rfam family: Bacterial small subunit ribosomal RNA
Source: RNAcentral
GGAGCUUGCUCCCUUAGGUCAGCGGCGGACGGGUGAGUAACACGUGGGUAACCUGCCUGUAAGACUGGGAUAACUCCGGGAAACCGGGGCUAAUACCGGAUGCUUGAUUGAACCGCAUGGUUCAAUCAUAAAAGGUGGCUUUUAGCUACCACUUACAGAUGGACCGGCGGCGCAUUAGCUAGUUGGUGAGGUAACGGCUCACCAAGGCGACGAUGCGUAGCCGACCUGAGAGGGUGAUCGGCCACACUGGGACUGAGACACGGCGCAGACACCUACGGGAGGCAGCAGUAGGGAAUCUUCCGCAAUGGACGAAAGUCUGACGGAGCAACGCCGCGUGAGUGAUGAAGGUUUUCGGAUCGUAAUACUCUGUUGUUAGGGAAGAACAAGUACCGUUCGAAUAGGGCGGUACCUUGACGGUACCUAACCAGAAAGCCACGGCUAACUACGUGCCAGCAGCCGCGGUAAUACGUAGGUGGCAAGCGUUGUCCGGAAUUAUUGGGCGUAAAGCGCGCGCAGGCGGUUUCUUAAGUCUGAUGUGAAAGCCCCCGGCUCAACCGGGGAGGGUCAUUGGAAACUGCGGAACUUGAGUGCAGAAGAGGAGAGUGGAAUUCCACGUGUAGCGGUGAAAUGCGUAGAGAUGUGGAGGAACACGAGUGGCGAAGGCGACUCUCUGGUCUGUAACUGACGCUGAGGCGCGAAAGCGAGGGGAGCGAACAGGAUUAGAUUCCCUGGUAGUCCACGCCGUAAACGAUGAGUGCUAAGUGUUAGAGGGUAUCCGCCCUUUAGUGCUGCAGCAAACGCAUUAAGCACUCCGCCUGGGGAGUACGGUCGCAAGACUGAAACUCAAAGGAAUUGACGGGGGCCCGCACAAGCGGUGGAGCAUGUGGUUUAAUUCGAAGCAACGCGAAGAACCUUACCAGGUCUUGACAUCCUCUGACAACCCUAGAGAUAGGGCUUCGCCUUCGGGGGCAGAGUGACAGGUGGUGCAUGGUUGUCGUCAGCUCGUGUCGUGAGAUGUUGGGUUAAGUCCCGCAACGAGCGCAACCCUUGAUGUUAGUUGCCAGCAUACAGUUGGGCACUCUAAGGUGACUGCCGGUGACAAACCGGAGGAAGGUGGGGAUGACG